AGGAAAUCGAGCGCCGCGCCCCUGCCCCGCAGGCGGGUGUGCGAGCGCGGAUGCGAGGUACCGGUCGCCACAGCUGACCCGCCGGGAUCCGCCUGCACUGCCUUCCAGGGACCUGGUUCUGACCACAAGAGGAAACGGGAGGUCACGGAUUGUUCUCCAUGGGGCCGUGAAUUAAAACCACAGCACGGAUCAUCACCACCAGCAUCAUCCUCACAGCACACCAGCAAGUUGCUGCUGCUCACUGACACAGGAUUUCCACCUUCCAUUAAACCAGUAUCUGGACACUGUUGGAAUCAAAACCUCUUCAGUCUCAGUCAACUUUAUGGCUCCCACUCACCUGGAAAAAGGGUAAAAGCACAACAUACUUCCAUUCAGAAUGAACAAAUGGGAUAUAAACUGCAGUCAGUGAUCAAUAACAGUGCUGAAAUCCAUCCAGAUAAUAGCCACCUACGUGGCCUGGAGAGAUGACUCAGCAGUUCAGAACACUGGCCGUUCUUGCAGAGAUCUUGGGUCCGGUUCCUAGGUGCUAACAACCAUCCAGUUCCAGGGGACUCCGAUGUCCUCUUCUGGCCUCUGUGGCCACUGCACACAUGGAGUGAGAGAGAUCUUCAUAAUCAUUUGAACUGUUGUCAGUUUCCUUCAGAGUGUUGGGCUACAGACCUGUCUAAGGAUCAAGUAACACUACAGCUAUUUCAUAAUUUUCAAUUCAUAUCUACUUCUAUUUAUAUAUAUCUGUUGAAAGUUUAUUAUUUCAAAUCUACUUGGAUUAUAACCUUUGAAAAUAUACAUGUGUAAAACAUUAAUAUUCAUUAUGUAUAAUUAAUAUAGAUAUACAGCAUGUACUUGAAGUUCAUUUAAAUAGUGUGAAAGUGAAUAAUAAUUAAUAGAAGUUUGAAAAUAUAAAUACAAUUUCCAAAUAGUAUGGGAAAAUUAUACAUUGACUUUAGAAUCAUUUUAUUAAAUUUAUUUGCGGUGUAUUUGUGUUUGUGUGUUUGUAUGAGAGUACAUGUGCCACAGCCUGUGAGUAGAGAUCAAAGAAUAAUUUGAAAGAGUUUUCUUCUUCUACUACGUGGGUCCUGGAGAUUGAACUCAGUCUUCAGACUUGACAGAAAGUGACUUUCUCUGCUGAGCCACCUUUUGUAUCCAGACUAUGCUAAUCUUUAACUCAA
Nannospalax galili (Upper Galilee mountains blind mole rat) is the source of this 1169-nucleotide long non-coding RNA. RefSeq lists it as uncharacterized. Lineage: Eukaryota; Metazoa; Chordata; Mammalia; Rodentia; Spalacidae. The record is from RefSeq and is a predicted model, not a curated record. The transcript is spliced from 4 exons.